AACGCCCAGGACUGCCAGGAAGCCAUUAUUACCCUUGAUGGCAGAAGCUCGGCCUUGCUGCAGAACCCUGCUGGUGGCCGGAUGGUUGUCGACAGCCAUGCCAUGGAAAUUUUAGAUGAAAGAAAGUUCGGAAAGUUCGGGACGUCGUGGGGAGGGUGUUCAACGCCCAGGACUGCCAGGGAGCCGUUAUAACCCUUGAUGGAAGAGGUUCAGCCUUGCUGCAGAACUCUGCUGGUGACUGGAUUGUUGUCGACAGCCAUGCCAAGGAUGUUUUAGGCGCCACUGACGUUGAUGGAAAGUCACGUCUUCUGAGGUUUCCCCCCUGAGUCACGUGUUGGCCUAUGACAGUGACAGUAAGACCUACACAGUACUCGCUGACAGGGUCCAAGGCCUAACCUUUUGAGCAGUCGUUCUGUAAGUCAAGAGGUGGCCUGUUACAGUGACAUGGCAGUUAGACCAACCCAGUACUCGCUGACAGGGUCAAAGGCCUAAUCUUAGGAGCUGUACACCGCCACUCCCAUCUUCGUAUGGGGCCAGUUCACCAGAGAGUAGACUUGUGACUUGGCUUUCCCACCAAAACACUCUGGUACACAGUGCAAAUCUCGAAGGCAUCCACUCCGUUUGUGACUUUGCUUUGCCAUCAAAACACUUCAGCGCACAGUGCACCUGGGUGAUAUUCAUCGCCAUUGUUGCCAGUGCAGUCGUUCCUGUCCGUCCUCGUGACGUGACAUGGGGGACCGUCUUCAUGGUGCCAUCCUCUGCUGGAUGGUAAGCGGCUUGCUUCAACAACCAUCUGGCAGCAGAUGGCCUGUGACAAUGGUGCAGCCGAGUCUGCCAGAAGCAGGGACUUCUGUACUCGGCAGAAGGCACUCGAACAAACAUCUGGGAGCAGUCGAGUUCGACUGUCUGGUGCAGCCGUGUCUGUGAGAUGCAGGGACUUCUGUAGCCUGGCAGCAUGGACUGGAACAAACAUCUGGGAGCAGUGGAGGUAGACUGUCUGCUGCAGCAGGGACAUCAGCCAUAUGUAGUGUGUCUUCUCUCUCUUUUUUCAUGGCAUCAGAGAGCCGUCCUGAAAACAGUGUACCUUAGCCUUACAUGAUGGCAAUCAACAGUGUGAAUAUAAACUGAAGG
Molecule: long non-coding RNA, 1131 nt
Organism: Haliotis rufescens (red abalone)
Lineage: Eukaryota; Metazoa; Mollusca; Gastropoda; Lepetellida; Haliotidae
Exons: 3
Source: RefSeq, a predicted model, not a curated record